AGUGAACGCUGGCGGUAGGCCUAACACAUGCAAGUCGAACGGCAGCACAGUAAGAGCUUGCUCUUACGGGUGGCGAGUGGCGGACGGGUGAGGAAUACAUCGGAAUCUACUUUUUCGUGGGGGAUAACGUAGGGAAACUUACGCUAAUACCGCAUACGACCUACGGGUGAAAGCAGGGGAUCCUCGGACCUUGCGCGAUUGAAUGAGCCGAUGUCGGAUUAGCUAGUUGGCGGGGUAAAGGCCCACCAAGGCGACGAUCCGUAGCUGGUCUGAGAGGAUGAUCAGCCACACUGGAACUGAGACACGGUCCAGACUCCUACGAGAGGCAGUAGUGGGGAAUAUUGGACAAUGGGCGCAAGCCUGAUCCAGCCAUACCGCGUGGGUGAAGAAGGCCUUCGGGUUGUAAAGCCCUUUUGUUGGGAAAGAAAAGCAGCAGGUUAAUACCCCGCUGUUCUGACGGUACCCAAAGAAUAAGCACCGGCUAACUUCGU
This 491-nucleotide ribosomal RNA is filed under the name uncultured bacterium. RNAcentral describes it as "partial 16S ribosomal RNA". It matches the Rfam family "Bacterial small subunit ribosomal RNA", at positions 29 to 506 of the family's 1533-position model. The record is from RNAcentral.